GAUGAACGCUGGCGGCGUGCCUAAUACAUGCAAGUAGAACGCUGAAGGAGGAGCUUGCUCUUUCCGGAUGAGUUGCGAACGGGUGAGUAACGCGUAGGUAACCUGCCUGGUAGCGGGGGAUAACUAUUGGAAACGAUAGCUAAUACCGCAUAACAGUAGAUAUUGCAUGAUAUUUGCUUGAAAGGGGCAAUUGCUCCACUACCAGAUGGACCUGCGUUGUAUUAGCUAGUUGGUGAGGUAACGGCUCACCAAGGCGACGAUACAUAGCCGACCUGAGAGGGUGAUCGGCCACACUGGGACUGAGACACGGCCCAGACGCCUACGGGAGGCAGCAGUAGGGAAUCUUCGGCAAUGGACGGAAGUCUGACCGAGCAACGCCGCGUGAGUGAAGAAGGUGUUCGGAUCGUAAAGCUCUGUUGUAAGAGAAGAACGAGUGUGGGAGUGGAAAGUGCACACUGUGACGGUAUCUUACCAGAAAGGGACGGCUAACUACGU
This 495-nucleotide ribosomal RNA is filed under the name uncultured bacterium. RNAcentral's name for it is "partial 16S ribosomal RNA". It matches the Rfam family "Bacterial small subunit ribosomal RNA", at positions 28 to 506 of the family's 1533-position model. The record is from RNAcentral.